GACGAACGCUGGCGGCGUGCUUAACACAUGCAAGUCGAACGGAAAGGCCCUGCUUUUGUGGGGUGCUCGAGUGGCGAACGGGUGAGUAACACGUGAGUAACCUGCCCUUGACUUUGGGAUAACUUCAGGAAACUGGGGCUAAUACCGGAUAGGAGCUCCUGCUGCAUGGUGGGGGUUGGAAAGUUUCGGCGGUUGGGGAUGGACUCGCGGCUUAUCAGCUUGUUGGGGGGGUAGUGGCUUACCAGGGCUUUGACGGGUAGCCGGCCUGAGAGGGUGACCGGCCACAUUGGGACUGAGAUACGGCCCAGACUCCUACGGGAGGCAGCAGUGGGGAAUAUUGCACAAUGGGCGGAAGCCUGAUGCAGCAACGCCGCGUGCGGGAUGCCGGCCUUCGGGUUGUAAACCGCUUUCGCCUGUGACGAAGCGUGAGUGACGGUAAUGGGUAAAGAAGCACCGGCUAACUACGUG
RNAcentral lists this ribosomal RNA (468 nucleotides) under uncultured bacterium. RNAcentral describes it as "partial 16S ribosomal RNA". It matches the Rfam family "Bacterial small subunit ribosomal RNA", at positions 28 to 507 of the family's 1533-position model. The record is from RNAcentral.